Molecule: ribosomal RNA, 452 nt
Filed under: Pseudarthrobacter oxydans
Lineage: Bacteria; Bacillati; Actinomycetota; Actinomycetes; Micrococcales; Micrococcaceae
Description: bacterial SSU rRNA
Rfam family: Bacterial small subunit ribosomal RNA
Source: RNAcentral
AGAGUUUGAUCCUGGCUCAGGAUGAACGCUGGCGGCGUGCUUAACACAUGCAAGUCGAACGAUGAUCCCAGCUUGCUGGGGGAUUAGUGGCGAACGGGUGAGUAACACGUGAGUAACCUGCCCUUAACUCUGGGAUAAGCCUGGGAAACUGGGUCUAAUACCGGAUAUGACUCCUCAUCGCAUGGUGGGGGGUGGAAAGCUUUUUGUGGUUUUGGAUGGACUCGCGGCCUAUCAGCUUGUUGGUGAGGUAAUGGCUUACCAAGGCGACGACGGGUAGCCGGCCUGAGAGGGUGACCGGCCACACUGGGACUGAGACACGGCCCAGACUCCUACGGGAGGCAGCAGUGGGGAAUAUUGCACAAUGGGCGCAAGCCUGAUGCAGCGACGCCGCGUGAGGGAUGACGGCCUUCGGGUUGUAAACCUCUUUCAGUAGGGAAGAAGCGAAAGAAACG